Molecule: long non-coding RNA, 559 nt
Filed under: Carica papaya (papaya)
Lineage: Eukaryota; Viridiplantae; Streptophyta; Magnoliopsida; Brassicales; Caricaceae
Description: long non-coding RNA (CPAP_LNC005876)
Source: RNAcentral
AUUAAAAAGUACUAAUAUUUACUUAUCAUCAAGAGUCAUGUCAGGGUUCUUCAUUAAUUAUGAAAACAAUUUAUUUCAAUAAAGAAAUCAUCAAGUCAAGUCAUAUCACGUCAAUCAAUUCAAUUAUGCUAAAAAUAAAAAAAAAUCAAACGAAUUAUAAUAUGCAUUUAUUUCAUUUUUCUCUUCGCGUGAAGUCAUUCUGACUUUCAUCUACUGAGGGCAAUACGAAUUUCUGACUACCAACGUGGAAUGACCAAUUCAUUUCAUAUUAUAUCAGUAAUGUGUGGCUUGCCAAACCAACAACACAUUUACGACUUUCCAAACCAUGACAUGAUCUAUGACCACGGUCGUGCCAAUAAUAGUGAUCCUACAAGUUAACUAUAGUCACAGUUGUACUUUGCCAAAGGUGACCCUUACAAUCAUAUCACGUCACCACUCUCAUCAUAGGAUAUGCCGUCAUCCAUAGGGAGCAAUCCCCUUACAUAUUUUCUAACCAGAGGGGGGAGAAACAGAAACUCCUUAGAGAUAAAAAGCCUAACGAAAGACUUUAUAAAUCAUG